UACGUAGGGCGCAAGCGUUGUCCGGAAUUAUUGGGCGUAAAGAGCUCGUAGGCGGUCUGUUACGUCCGCUGUGAAAACCCAGGGCUUAACCCUGGGCUUGCAGUGGAUACGGGCAGACUAGAGGCAGGUAGGGGAGAAUGGAAUUCCCGGUGUAGCGGUGAAAUGCGCAGAUAUCGGGAGGAACACCGGUGGCGAAGGCGGUUCUCUGGGCCUUACCUGACACUGAGGAGCGAAAGCGUGGGGAGCGAACAGG
Molecule: ribosomal RNA, 253 nt
Filed under: uncultured bacterium
Lineage: Bacteria
Description: partial 16S ribosomal RNA
Rfam family: Bacterial small subunit ribosomal RNA
Source: RNAcentral